GAUGAACGCUGGCGGCGUGCCUAAUACAUGCAAGUCGAGCGAACAGACGAGGAGCUUGCUCCUCUGACGUUAGCGGCGGACGGGUGAGUAACACGUGGAUAACCUACCUAUAAGACUGGGAUAACUUCGGGAAACCGGAGCUAAUACCGGAUAAUAUAUUGAACCGCAUGGUUCAAUAGUGAAAGACGGAUUUGCUGUCACUUAUAGAUGGAUCCGCGCCGCAUUAGCUAGUUGGUAAGGAAACGGCUUACCAAGGCGACGAUGCGUACCCGACCUGAGGGGGUGAUCGGCCACACUGGAACUGAGACACGGUCCAGACUCCUACGGGAGGCAGCAGUGGGGAAUCUUCCGCAAUGGGCGAAAGCCUGACGGAGCAACGCCGCGUGAGUGAUGAAGGUCUUCGGAUCGUAAAACUCUGUUAUUAGGGAAGAACAAAUGUGUAAGUAACUAUGCACGUCUUGACGGUACCUAAUCAGAAAGCCACGGCUAACUACGUG
Molecule: ribosomal RNA, 497 nt
Filed under: uncultured bacterium
Lineage: Bacteria
Description: partial 16S ribosomal RNA
Rfam family: Bacterial small subunit ribosomal RNA
Source: RNAcentral